RNAcentral lists this ribosomal RNA (540 nucleotides) under Salmonella enterica subsp. enterica serovar Infantis. Its description in RNAcentral is "partial 16S ribosomal RNA". It matches the Rfam family "Bacterial small subunit ribosomal RNA", at positions 1 to 532 of the family's 1533-position model. The record is from RNAcentral. Lineage: Bacteria; Pseudomonadati; Pseudomonadota; Gammaproteobacteria; Enterobacterales; Enterobacteriaceae. RNAcentral also lists the same sequence under 1 other name.
AAAUUGAAGAGUUUGAUCAUGGCUCAGAUUGAACGCUGGCGGCAGGCCUAACACAUGCAAGUCGAACGGUAGCACAGAGAGCUUGCUCUCGGGUGACGAGUGGCGGACGGGUGAGUAAUGUCUGGGAAACUGCCUGAUGGAGGGGGAUAACUACUGGAAACGGUGGCUAAUACCGCAUAACGUCGCAAGACCAAAGAGGGGGACCUUCGGGCCUCUUGCCAUCAGAUGUGCCCAGAUGGGAUUAGCUUGUUGGUGAGGUAACGGCUCACCAAGGCGACGAUCCCUAGCUGGUCUGAGAGGAUGACCAGCCACACUGGAACUGAGACACGGUCCAGACUCCUACGGGAGGCAGCAGUGGGGAAUAUUGCACAAUGGGCGCAAGCCUGAUGCAGCCAUGCCGCGUGUAUGAAGAAGGCCUUCGGGUUGUAAAGUACUUUCAGCGGGGAGGAAGGUGUUGUGGUUAAUAACCGCAGCAAUUGACGUUACCCGCAGAAGAAGCACCGGCUAACUCCGUGCCAGCAGCCGCGGUAAUACGGAGGG